RNAcentral lists this ribosomal RNA (292 nucleotides) under uncultured microorganism. RNAcentral describes it as "partial 16S ribosomal RNA". It matches the Rfam family "Bacterial small subunit ribosomal RNA", at positions 505 to 796 of the family's 1533-position model. The record is from RNAcentral.
GUGCCAGCAGCCGCGGUAAUACGUAGGUGGCAAGCGUUGUCCGGAAUUAUUGGGCGUAAAGCGCGCGCAGGCGGUUCUUUAAGUCUGAUGUGAAAGCCCCCGGCUCAACCGGGGAGGGUCAUUGGAAACUGGGGAACUUGAGUGCAGAAGAGGAGAGUGGAAUUCCACGUGUAGCGGUGAAAUGCGUAGAGAUGUGGAGGAACACCAGUGGCGAAGGCGACUCUCUGGUCUGUAACUGACGCUGAGGCGCGAAAGCGUGGGGAGCGAACAGGAUUAGAUACCCUGGUAGUCC